GGUUGGUACUUGUACCAACUGGAUGAGCAGCGAACGGGUGAGUAACGCGUGGGGAAUCUGCCUUUGAGCGGGGGACAACAUUUGGAAACGAAUGCUAAUACCGCAUAAAAACUUUAAACACAAGUUUUAAGUUUGAAAGAUGCAAUUGCAUCACUCAAAGAUGAUCCCGCGUUGUAUUAGCUAGUUGGUGAGGUAAAGGCUCACCAAGGCGAUGAUACAUAGCCGACCUGAGAGGGUGAUCGGCCACAUUGGGACUGAGACACGGCCCAAACUCCUACGGGAGGCAGCAGUAGGGAAUCUUCGGCAAUGGACGAAAGUCUGACCGAGCAACGCCGCGUGAGUGAAGAAGGUUUUCGGAUCGUAAAACUCUGUUGGUAGAGAAGAACGUUGGUGAGAGUGGAAAGCUCAUCAAGUGACGGUAACUACCCAGAAAGGGACGGCUAACUACGUGCCAGCAGCCGCGGUAAUACGUAGGUCCCGAGCGUUGUCCGGAUUUAUUGGGCGUAAAGCGAGCGCAGGUGGUUUAUUAAGUCUGGUGUAAAAGGCAGUGGCUCAACCAUUGUAUGCAUUGGAAACUGGUAGACUUGAGUGCAGGAGAGGAGAGUGGAAUUCCAUGUGUAGCGGUGAAAUGCGUAGAUAUAUGGAGGAACACCGGUGGCGAAAGCGGCUCUCUGGCCUGUAACUGACACUGAGGCUCGAAAGCGUGGGGGAGCAAACAGGAUUARAUACCCUGGUAGUCCACGCCGUAAAMSRWGAGUGCUAGAUGUAGGGAGCUAUAAGUUCUCUGUAUCGCAGCUAACGCAAUAAGCACUCCGCCUGGGGAGUACGACCGCAAGGUUGAAACUCAAAGGAAUUGACGGGGGCCCGCACAAGCGGUGGAGCAUGUGGUUUAAUUCGAAGCAACGCGAAGAACCUUACCAGGUCUUGACAUACUCGUGCUAUUCCUAGAGAUAGGAAGUUCCUUCGGGACACGGGAUACAGGUGGUGCAUGGUUGUCGUCAGCUCGUGUCGUGAGAUGUUGGGUUAAGUCCCGCAACGAGCGCAACCCCUAUUGUUAGUUGCCAUCAUUAAGUUGGGCACUCUAACGAGACUGCCGGUGAUAAACCGGAGGAAGGUGGGGAUGACGUCAAAUCAUCAUGCCCCUUAUGACCUGGGCUACACACGUGCUACAAUGGAUGGUACAACGAGUCGCGAGACAGUGAUGUUUAGCUAAUCUCUUAAAACCAUUCUCAGUUCGGAUUGUAGGCUGCAACUCGCCUACAUGAAGUCGGAAUCGCUAGUAAUCGCGGAUCAGCACGCCGCGGUGAAUACGUUCCCGGGCCUUGUACACACCGCCCGUCACACCACGGGAGUUGGGAGUACCCGAAGUAGGUUGCCUAACCGCAAGGAGGGCGCUC
This 1397-nucleotide ribosomal RNA is filed under the name Lactococcus lactis. RNAcentral's name for it is "bacterial SSU rRNA". It matches the Rfam family "Bacterial small subunit ribosomal RNA". Lineage: Bacteria; Bacillati; Bacillota; Bacilli; Lactobacillales; Streptococcaceae. The record is from RNAcentral.